RNAcentral lists this ribosomal RNA (326 nucleotides) under uncultured eukaryote. RNAcentral describes it as "partial 18S ribosomal RNA". It matches the Rfam family "Eukaryotic small subunit ribosomal RNA", at positions 1470 to 1796 of the family's 1831-position model. The record is from RNAcentral.
CCCUUAGAUGUUCUGGGCCGCACGCGCGCUACACUGAUGCAUUCAACGAGCCUAUCCUUGACCGACAGGUCCGGGUAAUCUUUGAAUCUGCAUCGUGACGGGGAUAGAUUAUUGCAAUUAUUAAUCUUCAACGAGGAAUGCCUAGUAGGCGCAAGUCAUCAGCUUGCGUCGAUUACGUCCCUGCCCUUUGUACACACCGCCCGUCGCACCUACCGAUUGAAUGGUCCGGUGAGAAUUUUGGAUUGAUGUUUAGUCGGAUUAACGUCAGACUUUACGUUGAGAAGUUAUUCAAACCUUACCAUUUAGAGGAAGGUGAAGUCGUAACA